Molecule: long non-coding RNA, 1143 nt
Organism: Centruroides sculpturatus (bark scorpion)
Lineage: Eukaryota; Metazoa; Arthropoda; Arachnida; Scorpiones; Buthidae
Exons: 3
Source: RefSeq, a predicted model, not a curated record
CAUCGAUUGGAAACUUCAUUGAUGCAAAUAAAUAGUACUGAGAUAGUGGCGCUAUCAGGCGUAUUAUCCCGAACAAACAAUACUUUAUCUCAAAUAGAGAAUUAAUUUGCUGUUCCUGAAGUAAUCUCAUUUCGGAAGCAAAAUGCGAGUAUGUAUACGCACGUCCAAGGAACAAUAAAGAUUCAAGUUCGACGAAAUUUAACGUAUUUUUUGUAAUCAACCACGUGCAAGUCAGCCGUGUUGUUUUCUCGUGAAAUCAAUUGCGAGUCAGGAAAAGCAUAGGGACUGGUCGUAUGCGGAUGAUGAUGCUGGAGACAAGGAUGAUACUUGUCCAUACAAAACCGUUUAUUUUUGACAUAAAAUGACUUACACUACGAACAAAAUAGACUGCCUUGAGGAUCAGGCGCUGGAUAUGAUGUUCGUCGAUUGUCGUAAGUGAGAUGAUCUUCUCCACGAAUCUUCGAAGGUCAGGUAGUUUGGAUGAGGUCCGUCGGAUAAAUUGUAAAGCCUGGUACCCACAUGCGGCAACGGACGACGGAAAUCGUCGACGGAAACGGUUGCCGUUCCGUCGUCUUUCCGUGUCUCGUGUACUCACAUGCGGAAAUUACCCUACAAUUGAAACGCGCCAUCUGCCAGCCGUAAAUAUAAACAAGCUACUACAGUAGGUAGGCCACGUGCCAGUAGUCGAAAAUGGCGUCUACCGGGAUUGCUUUGUUAUAUCAAUUAAACUUUUUAAGUUUGCCUUCGAUCUUAUCGCAAAUAAAAAAACCUGAAAAACGAAUAAUUUGGAUAGGGAAAAUAUUCUAAAUCGUCGAAAGUUAGGAAUAUCGAAUACUUUCGUCGCCGAAUUACGCUUACUCCAUUCCCAAUACUUUACGCAGCAUUAUUUGUCAUCAAGGACCUCGAACUGAGGAGCUUUCACGACGAAGGCAAUCUUCAAGGCUCUCGAGAAUUAACCGGAAAAAUUUCAAUACGGAUAAAGUGAAUAUCAAUACAAGAGUUUGUCAGAAACAUUUCAUUUCAGACUGGUGCCAACAUUAAACAUGAGGUAUUAGAGAGGCCACAACACAACUGCAUAUCAGGAGCGUUAUGAAAGAGCAUGUAAUCAACAAAUUAUUUUCAAGUAGGCCUCUGUAUGGUAGU